GCAAUUCCUUCUCCGCAGCCCCAUUGCGGAGGGGAGAUGCCCUCUCAGUCUGUCGCUCCGGUACCCGGGGGACAACACACCCCCACUGCAAACGUUUCUCGUCGCCUCGGAGCCAGGCAGGCUGCAAACUGCUCUGCGUUUAUAUCUGGAGUCACUCUCCUCCCUCUCUCCCUUCGUGUCUCACCUCUCUUUGCAGUGCUGUGCUCUGGGGUUGGCUUCUCCCUG
RNAcentral lists this long non-coding RNA (225 nucleotides) under Gallus gallus (chicken). Lineage: Eukaryota; Metazoa; Chordata; Aves; Galliformes; Phasianidae. The record is from RNAcentral.